This 1329-nucleotide ribosomal RNA is filed under the name Klebsiella pneumoniae BWH 41. Its description in RNAcentral is "bacterial LSU rRNA". It matches the Rfam family "Bacterial large subunit ribosomal RNA", at positions 1621 to 2925 of the family's 2925-position model. Lineage: Bacteria; Pseudomonadati; Pseudomonadota; Gammaproteobacteria; Enterobacterales; Enterobacteriaceae. The record is from RNAcentral.
CUAAGCAUCAGGUAACAUCAAAUCGUACCCCAAACCGACACAGGUGGUCAGGUAGAGAAUACCAAGGCGCUUGAGAGAACUCGGGUGAAGGAACUAGGCAAAAUGGUGCCGUAACUUCGGGAGAAGGCACGCUGGUGUGUAGGUGAAGUCCCUGCGGAUGGAGCUGAGACCAGUCGAAGAUACCAGCUGGCUGCAACUGUUUAUUAAAAACACAGCACUGUGCAAACACGAAAGUGGACGUAUACGGUGUGACGCCUGCCCGGUGCCGGAAGGUUAAUUGAUGGGGUUAUCCGUAAGGAGAAGCUCUUGAUCGAAGCCCCGGUAAACGGCGGCCGUAACUAUAACGGUCCUAAGGUAGCGAAAUUCCUUGUCGGGUAAGUUCCGACCUGCACGAAUGGCGUAAUGAUGGCCAGGCUGUCUCCACCCGAGACUCAGUGAAAUUGAACUCGCUGUGAAGAUGCAGUGUACCCGCGGCAAGACGGAAAGACCCCGUGAACCUUUACUAUAGCUUGACACUGAACAUUGAGCCUUGAUGUGUAGGAUAGGUGGGAGGCUUUGAAGCGUGGACGCCAGUCUGCGUGGAGCCAACCUUGAAAUACCACCCUUUAAUGUUUGAUGUUCUAACGUUGGCCCCUGACCGGGGUUGCGGACAGUGUCUGGUGGGUAGUUUGACUGGGGCGGUCUCCUCCCAAAGCGUAACGGAGGAGCACGAAGGUUAGCUAAUCCUGGUCGGACAUCAGGAGGUUAGUGCAAUGGCAUAAGCUAGCUUGACUGCGAGCGUGACGGCGCGAGCAGGUGCGAAAGCAGGUCAUAGUGAUCCGGUGGUUCUGAAUGGAAGGGCCAUCGCUCAACGGAUAAAAGGUACUCCGGGGAUAACAGGCUGAUACCGCCCAAGAGUUCAUAUCGACGGCGGUGUUUGGCACCUCGAUGUCGGCUCAUCACAUCCUGGGGCUGAAGUAGGUCCCAAGGGUAUGGCUGUUCGCCAUUUAAAGUGGUACGCGAGCUGGGUUUAGAACGUCGUGAGACAGUUCGGUCCCUAUCUGCCGUGGGCGCUGGAGAAUUGAGGGGGGCUGCUCCUAGUACGAGAGGACCGGAGUGGACGCAUCACUGGUGUUCGGGUUGUCAUGCCAAUGGCACUGCCCGGUAGCUAAAUGCGGAAGAGAUAAGUGCUGAAAGCAUCUAAGCACGAAACUUGCCCCGAGAUGAGUUCUCCCUGAGACUAUAAGUCUCCUGAAGGAACGUUAAAGACGAUGACGUUGAUAGGCCGGGUGUGUAAGCGCAGCGAUGCGUUGAGCUAACCGGUACUAAUGAACCGUGAGGCUUAACCUU